AGUGAACGCUGGCGGUAGGCCUAACACAUGCAAGUCGAACGGCAGCACAGGAGAGCUUGCUCUCUGGGUGGCGAGUGGCGGACGGGUGAGGAAUACAUCGGAAUCUACUUUUUCGUGGGGGAUAACGUAGGGAAACUUACGCUAAUACCGCAUACGACAUACGGGUGAAAGCAGGGGACCUUCGGGCCUUGCGCGAUUGAAUGAGCCGAUGUCGGAUUAGCUAGUUGGCGGGGUAAAGGCCCACCAAGGCGGCGAUCCGUAGCUGGUCUGAGAGGAUGAUCAGCCACACUGGAACUGAGACACGGUCCAGACUCCUACGGGAGGCAGCAGCGGGGAAUAUUGGACAAUGGGCGCAAGCCUGAUCCAGCCAUACCGCGUGGGUGAAGAAGGCCUUCGGGUUGUAAAGCCCUUUUGUUGGGAAAGAAAUCCAGCUGGCUAAUACCCGGUUGGGAUGACGGUACCCAAAGAAUAAGCACCGGCUAACUUCGUGCCAGCCGCCGCCGUAA
RNAcentral lists this ribosomal RNA (506 nucleotides) under uncultured bacterium. RNAcentral's name for it is "partial 16S ribosomal RNA". It matches the Rfam family "Bacterial small subunit ribosomal RNA", at positions 29 to 523 of the family's 1533-position model. The record is from RNAcentral.